This 348-nucleotide unclassified non-coding RNA is filed under the name soil metagenome. RNAcentral describes it as "partial contains 5.8S ribosomal RNA, internal transcribed spacer 2, and large subunit ribosomal RNA". The stretch from base 1 to 120 matches the Rfam family "5.8S ribosomal RNA", at positions 35 to 154 of the family's 154-position model. The record is from RNAcentral.
GAUGAAGAACGUAGCGAAAUGCGAUAAGUAAUGUGAAUUGCAGAAUUCAGUGAACCAUCGAAUCUUUGAACGCACAUUGCGCCCGCCAGUAUUCUGGCGGGCAUGCCUGUCUGAGCGUCAUUUCAACCCUCAUGCCCCUAGGGCGUGGUGUUGGGGAUCGGCCAAAGCCCGCGAGGGACGGCCGGCCCCUAAAUCUAGUGGCGGACCCGUCGUGGCCUCCUCUGCGAAGUAGUGAUAUUCCGCAUCGGAGAGCGAUGAGCCCCUGCCGUUAAACCCCCAACUUUCCAAGGUUGACCUCAGAUCAGGUAGGAAUACCCGCUGAACUUAAGCAUAUCAAUAAGCGGAGGA